RNAcentral lists this ribosomal RNA (565 nucleotides) under uncultured bacterium. RNAcentral describes it as "bacterial SSU rRNA". It matches the Rfam family "Bacterial small subunit ribosomal RNA", at positions 338 to 916 of the family's 1533-position model. The record is from RNAcentral.
CCUACGGGAGGCAGCAGUGGGGGAAUAUUGGACAAUGGGGGGCAACCCUGAUCCAGCCAUGCCGCGUGAGUGAUGACGGCCUUAGGGUUGUAAAGCUCUUUUCUCCGGGACGAUAAUGACGGUACCGGAGGAAUAAGCCCCGGCUAACUUCGUGCCAGCAGCCGCGGUAAUACGAAGGGGGGCUAGCGUUGCUCGGAAUCACUGGGCGUAAAGGGCGCGUAGGCGGCUGACUUAGUCGAGGGUGAAAGCCCGUGGCUCAACCACGGAAUGGCCUUCGAUACUGGUUGGCUUGAGACCGGAAGAGGACAGCGGAACUGCGAGUGUAGAGGUGAAAUUCGUAGAUAUUCGCAAGAACACCAGUGGCGAAGGCGGCUGUCUGGUCCGGUUCUGACGCUGAGGCGCGAAAGCGUGGGGAGCAAACAGGAUUAGAUACCCUGGUAGUCCACGCUGUAAACGAUGAAUGCUAGCCGUUGGUCUGCAUGCAGGUCAGUGGCGCCGCUAACGCAUUAAGCAUUCCGCCUGGGGAGUACGGUCGCAAGAUUAAAACUUAAAGGUAAAUUGACGG